This 211-nucleotide long non-coding RNA is filed under the name Capsicum annuum. Its description in RNAcentral is "long non-coding RNA (CANN_LNC012188)". Lineage: Eukaryota; Viridiplantae; Streptophyta; Magnoliopsida; Solanales; Solanaceae. The record is from RNAcentral.
GUGUAUACGAGUGUUGGUGAGGAGAUUUUACUACUAAUCAUGUUUGUUCAUUGUGUAGGUACAAAGGUGAUAUAAGGGGAACAUGUCUUCGAUAGACGGGGAUUAUUGUGACUACAACAUGGGAGACUAUGAUUGUAGUGAGGGGUUUUAUGGCUACGAAGUUGAGGGAGAUUGUGGAGGCUAUGAAAAUAGCCAUGAUCAAAACUUGGGC